RNAcentral lists this transfer RNA (85 nucleotides) under Felis catus (domestic cat). It matches the Rfam family "tRNA". From Rfam's summary of the family: Transfer RNA (tRNA) molecules are approximately 80 nucleotides in length. Their secondary structure includes four short double-helical elements and three loops (D, anti-codon, and T loops). Further hydrogen bonds mediate the characteristic L-shaped molecular structure. tRNAs have two regions of fundamental functional importance: the anti-codon, which is responsible for specific mRNA codon recognition, and the 3' end, to which the tRNAs corresponding amino acid is attached (by aminoacyl-tRNA synthetases). tRNAs cope with the degeneracy of the genetic code in two manners: having more than one tRNA (with a specific anti-codon) for a particular amino acid; and 'wobble' base-pairing, i.e. permitting non-standard base-pairing at the 3rd anti-codon position. Lineage: Eukaryota; Metazoa; Chordata; Mammalia; Carnivora; Felidae. The record is from Rfam by way of RNAcentral.
GCCUGGGUGGCUCAGUCGGUUAAGCGUCUGACUUCAGCUCAGGUCACGAUCUCGCGGUUCGUGAGUUCGAGCCCCGCAUCGGGCU